RNAcentral lists this ribosomal RNA (406 nucleotides) under uncultured bacterium. Its description in RNAcentral is "partial 16S ribosomal RNA". It matches the Rfam family "Bacterial small subunit ribosomal RNA", at positions 29 to 526 of the family's 1533-position model. The record is from RNAcentral.
AUUGAACGCUGGCGGCAGGCCUAACACAUGCAAGUCGCGCGAGCGGCGGACGGGUGAGUAAUGUCUGGGAAACUGCCUGAUGGAGGGGGAUAACUACUGGAAACGGUAGCUAAUACCGCAUACCAUCAGAUUUGCCCAGAUGGGGUUAGCUAGUAGGUGGGGUAACGGCGCACCUAGGCGACGAUCCCUAGCUGGUCUGAGAGGAUGACCAGAAACACUGGAACGGAGACAGGGUCCAGACGCAUACGGGAGGCAGAAGUGGGGAAGAUGGCACAAUGGGCGCAAGCCUGAGGCAGCCAUGCCGCGUGUGUGAAGAAGGCCUUCGGGUUGUAAAGCACUUUCAGCGGGGAGGCGUUACCCGCAGAAGAAGCACCGGCGAACUCCGUGCCAGCAGCCGCGGUAAUUC